GACGAACGCUGGCGGCGUGCUUAACACAUGCAAGUCGAACGGUGAACCUCUUCGGAGGGGAUCAGUGGCGAACGGGUGAGUAACACGUGGGCAACCUGCCCCCGGCCCUGGGAUAACUCCAAGAAAUUGGGGCUAAUACCGGAUGUUCACCGCUUCCCGCAUGGGUGGUGGUGAAAAGGGUUUGCGGCUGGGGAUGGGCGCGCGGCCUAUGAGCUUGUUGGUGGGGUAGUGGCCUACGAAGGCGACGACGGGUAGCCGACCUGAGAGGGGGACCGGCCACAAGGGGCCUGAGAGAGGGACCAGAGUCCUACGGGAGGCAGCGGUCGCGAGUAUUACCCAACGGUCGCGCGCCUGAGGCAAAGACGCUGGGUUGGUGAUGCCCGCUUGCUGGUUGUGAAAAUCUUCAAGCAGGGACCCCGCGGAUGUGACGGUACCUGCAGAAGAAGCACCGGCCAACUACGUG
Molecule: ribosomal RNA, 463 nt
Filed under: uncultured bacterium
Lineage: Bacteria
Description: partial 16S ribosomal RNA
Rfam family: Bacterial small subunit ribosomal RNA
Source: RNAcentral